Molecule: long non-coding RNA, 537 nt
Organism: Hermetia illucens (black soldier fly)
Lineage: Eukaryota; Metazoa; Arthropoda; Insecta; Diptera; Stratiomyidae
Exons: 3
Source: RefSeq, a predicted model, not a curated record
AGUCCGUAUCCGCAUGUUACGAUGACUAGCCACCUCAAGUAGCUGGUCCGCAAAUUCCUAUCCACUUGUGCCGUCUUUUAAGAUCACAUUUUUGGAAAAUAAAUUUCGUUCAGUUGCCGACCUGUUGAAUAACUAUGUAGCUUCUUUGGCAGUUGUCACGCCAAAAUUCGAAUUCAUCGUCGUUCAUUUAGUGCGGUACCGAAGUUAAAAUUGUUGCAUCUGAAUACCUUCGCUGACUUUAAAGUUUGUGCAAACUUCCGUACGGAGGGCAAACUAUUAGCUACUUUCUGACUACAUUAAGGAUACUCAGCAAAUGAUAGAAUAAUGUCUAAUGUCCAGACGAAUCAGCGUGUGCCAUUACGUACGCUUUAGAUGGGGUCAGCAAAAUAAAAGCCUCGCAAUAAGUUUUGCACGAUGAUAGUAUAUCCGCAACUGCCUCGGGCAACCAACAAAAAGAAGAGUAUAUCUUGCUAAGAGUUUACCGACCUGGAUAUGUGUAUUAUACAAUGCAGAUUUCACAGCUCACCAAAACCGCGG